UGUUUACAAGCAGCGAAAGUGGUUUUGCACCACGAUCGUGUACUUUUUGUAGAACGGGCCAGCGAGUUACGAUUACUAGCGAGGUUAAGCAUUAAAGAUGCGGAGCCGAAGCGAAAGCGAGUCUAAAUAGGGCGGAAGUUAGUGGUUGUAGACCCGAAACCGUGUGAUCUAUCCAUGAGCAGAGUGAAGUUGAAGUAAAAUUCAAUGGAGGCUCGAACCGGGUAACGUUUAAAAGUUAUCGGAUGACUUGUGGAUAGGGGUGAAAAGCCAAACGAACACGGAGAUAGCUGGUUCUCCUCGAAAUAGCUUUAGGGCUAGCCUCUAGUAAGACAUGAAAAGGGGGUAGAGCACUGAUUGGUCAAGGGGCAUGCAUAUGUUACCAAGACCUAUCAAACUCCGAAUACCAUAUCAUGCACUAGGGAGUCAGACUAUGUGGGAUGAGCUUCAUAGUCGAAAGGGAAAGAGCCCAGACCAUCAGCUAAGGUCCCAAAAUUAUAGUUAAGUGGGAAAGGAUGUGGAGUUACUGAGACAACUAGGAUGUUGGCUUAGAAGCAGCCACUCAUUUAAAGAGUGCGUAAUAGCUCACUAGUCGAGUGAUUCUGCGCCGAAAAUUUAACGGGGCUAAACUGUACACCGAAGCUACGGAUCGAAAGAUGGUAGGGGAGCGUUCUGUAGGCCGUUGAAGCAUGAUCGAAAGGACAUGUGGAGGUAUCAGAAGUGAGAAUGUCGGAAUAAGUAGCGAGAGCAAAGUGAGAAUCUUUGCCGUCGAAAAUCUAAGGUUUCCUGGGCAAGGCUCGUCCUCCCAGGGUAAGUCGGGACCUAAGGCGAGGCCAAGAGGCGUAGUCGAUGGACAGCAGGUUUAAAUUCCUGCACUGCAAUGUUGCGUUAUUAGAGACGCAGGGACACGGAAGGAUAAGAUCGCAGACAGCUGGAAUAGUCUGUGGAAAGCACGAAACGAAGGACUUAGUAAAGUACGGGUCCUAAUAGGAGAGUGCCGAAGGAGGGAAAAUAAGUACCGAAGGAUCUGAAUUCAACUGGCGAGAAAAGCUGCUAUCAAGUAACAGUGCACCCGUACCGCAAACCGACACAGGUAGAUGAGGAGAGAAUCCUAAGACGAUCGGGAGAAUCAUCGUUAAGGAACUAGGCAAAUUAACCCCGUAAGUUAGCGAUAAGGGGAGCCAGCUAGCGCUGGCCGCAGAGAAAUGGCCCGAGCAACUGUUUAGCAAAAACACAGGUCUCCGCAAACACGAAAGUGGAAGUAUGGGGGCUGACGCCUGCCCGGUGCUGGAAGGUCAAGGGGAAGUGUUAGAGAAUACUCGAAGCACAGAACUUAAGCCCCAGUGAACGGCGGCCGUAACUAUAACGGUCCUAAGGUAGCGAAAUUCCUUGUCAGGUAAGUUCUGACCCGCA
Molecule: ribosomal RNA, 1410 nt
Filed under: metagenome
Description: bacterial LSU rRNA
Rfam family: Bacterial large subunit ribosomal RNA
Source: RNAcentral